This 261-nucleotide ribosomal RNA is filed under the name uncultured bacterium. RNAcentral's name for it is "partial 16S ribosomal RNA". It matches the Rfam family "Bacterial small subunit ribosomal RNA", at positions 1231 to 1500 of the family's 1533-position model. The record is from RNAcentral.
UGGCAGGUACAGAGGGGUGCUACCGGGUGACCGGAUGCCGAUCUCGAAAACCUGUCCCAGUUCGGACUGGAGUCUGCAACCCGACUCCACGAAGUUGGAUUCGCUAGUAAUCGCGCAUCAGCCAUGGCGCGGUGAAUACGUUCCCGGGCCUUGUACACACCGCCCGUCAAGCCAUGGGAGCCGGGGGCGCCUGAAGUCCGGGACCGCGAGGACCGGCCUAAGGCGAAACUGGUGACUGGGGCUAAGUCGUAACAAGGUAAC